Molecule: ribosomal RNA, 515 nt
Filed under: Bacillus subtilis
Lineage: Bacteria; Bacillati; Bacillota; Bacilli; Caryophanales; Bacillaceae
Description: bacterial SSU rRNA
Rfam family: Bacterial small subunit ribosomal RNA
Source: RNAcentral
ACGAGCCGCUGGCGGCGUGCCUAAUACAUGCAAGUCGAGCGGACAGAUGGGAGCUUGCUCCCUGAUGUUAGCGGCGGACGGGUGAGUAACACGUGGGUAACCUGCCUGUAAGACUGGGAUAACUCCGGGAAACCGGGGCUAAUACCGGAUGCUUGUUUGAACCGCAUGGUUCAAACAUAAAAGGUGGCUUCGGCUACCACUUACAGAUGGACCCGCGGCGCAUUAGCUAGUUGGUGAGGUAAUGGCUCACCAAGGCAACGAUGCGUAGCCGACCUGAGAGGGUGAUCGGCCACACUGGGACUGAGACACGGCCCAGACUCCUACGGGAGGCAGCAGUAGGGAAUCUUCCGCAAUGGACGAAAGUCUGACGGAGCAACGCCGCGUGAGUGAUGAAGGUUUUCGGAUCGUAAAGCUCUGUUGUUAGGGAAGAACAAGUACCGUUCGAAUAGGGCGGUACCUUGACGGUACCUAACCAGAAAGCCACGGCUAACUACGUGCCAGCAGCCGCGGUAAUA